CUACGGGAUGCACCAGUCGAGAAUAGUCUACAAUGGAGGAAACUCUGAUAGUGCGACGCCGCGUGGAUGAUGAAGCAUUUCGGUGUGUAAAGUCCUUUUCUGUAUGAGCAAUGCUUUUAUGGUUAAUACCCAUAAGAGAGAGAUAUUAGUGCAGGAAUAAGCCACGGCUAACUCCGUGCCAGCAGCCGCGGUAAUACGGGGGUGGCAAGCGUUGUCCGGAAUCACUAGGCGUAAAGGGCAAGUAGGCGGAUAGGUAAGUUAGAUGUUAAAGGCACCGGCUCAACCGGUGUAAGGCAUUUGAUACUGCAUAUCUAGAAUUAGGUGGGAGAAGACGGAAUUCCUGGUGUAGCGGUGGAAUGCGUAGAUAUCAGGAAGAACACCGGUGGCGAAGGCGGUCUUCUAUACCAUAAUUGACGCUCAAUUGCGAAGGUGUGGGUAUCGAACAGGAUUAGAUACCCCUGUAGUC
Molecule: ribosomal RNA, 466 nt
Filed under: uncultured bacterium
Lineage: Bacteria
Description: partial 16S ribosomal RNA
Rfam family: Bacterial small subunit ribosomal RNA
Source: RNAcentral